UAUGUGUAAUAACUUACGGAUGAAAUGGAAUAAGUAAUACUUAGACAAAUAUCCCUGACACUUCAGAUAAAGCACUUUUAAGAUCCUAGGUAUCUUAACAUAAGUAUUUAAAGAUGAUAUUAUGAGAAGAGGUCCAUCUAGGACAUAGAAAGACCAAGGACCCCUUCCCCAUAUGAAUGUCAAUGUGGUGGAAGGUGGACAUCAGCACGGAUAUGAAGAUGUGGCUCCUGCAUUCAACAGCCUUAGAAUAUGUCCACAUGCUUCCAUUCACCCCAUGCCUCAGUUUCCUUACUGCUAAUAUGGGAGCCUCAAAAUCAGACAAUGUGUGUCUUUGUCCAUAGCCAGGCUGCAACCAACUCAGAAUACCUCGUCAUAAGGCACAAAGCCCUACUGACCGGCAGGUACCACACUGAGCUUCUCCAUCCAUUUUCUGGACACAACACAGGAUGUCCAGCCUCCUUCAUUCUACAAAAAAUUCCAGAAACUGGUCACUCUUCUAGUCACUCAACAUCAGACUCAGCCAAAGCAACCUUGGAACUCAGCUGAAUGUCAUGGGGGCGUGCUUUCUCUUCACCAAAGGAAGCCCACCUAAUCACUGACCUGCUGUUUUAAGUCUGGGCUGAAAAAACUUGGGAUGGGUGGUGGGCAUGAUUGCUGGGGAAUUCUCUCCUGCACUUGUGUAUUUUUUAAAGACAUACCGAUAAGGCACAGCUGACGUCACAGAACCUGUAAGUACCUCUUAGCUCUCGUUUCACGCAAUGCUUCUACAGACAUGCUUUCAUGGGUCUUUUAAGCACAGAUGGCAAGAGGAUGAAGAGUUUCCUGUUUCAGGGUCCAGGAGUUCUGUUCCUUCCAUCCUCCUUCCAUUCUUCAUUCUUAGAAAGAAAACAAAACCCAGGCUGGCUGGCGAUACAGUGCUCUUUAGACAAAGCAGCAAGCACACCACCUAGCUGAUGUUAUUGCUUUGUCCUCUCACUCUCAGGCAACAGCUGCAGAUCUGCGGGCUCAGGAGAAGUGGGCAGGGCUUUCAAAGGAAGCUGAAGAGAAAGGGCUAUAAGGAGAAGACUCUCUGCAAAGCUUGUCUUCUCAGCCGAAGAUAGACCUGACUUCCAUCCCCCUUGUCCUCAAGAGGCACCAAAAAAGAUCAUGGUGUUGUUCCCAUUUUGUAGAUGGGGAAAACCAAGGCAGUGGGUCUCACAGUAAACUUUUCUGAGAGCAGCCAAUUUAAUCUUUAUAAAAAUUUGUGAGGGGCUAGAUGUACUUUGUAAACAUUUUUAACUUUCCUUUGGAGCAAAUUUUGCUUCAUAGUUAAUGCUUUUUAUUUCCUUUACUCCACAAUGGCUUCAGACCAGUCUGCAAGGAAAUGGUAAUGAAGAGUGAGGUAGCUUAUCCACAACACUGACUCACACUGAACUGGUGGGAAGCUCAGGGGAGCAGGUUGACUGCCAGAAGGGCACGGGGAGACAUUUCCAAACACCACUUCUAUUGCCUCCUCCAGUUUGAACGAUUUGUUGAUAGGACCAUGGGCGGCUUCUGGAGGUGUCUGAGAUUAUGACCUUGCUUCUUCUGGGGAAGCUCUGUAGUCAGAAAAUGAGACUUACCAUCACUUACCCCUGAAUGACCCUGAGGCACUGACUCAUCUAUCUCAAGCCUCAUCUGCAUCAUGUAGAACAGGGGAUUGCAUUAUCAUAAUUGAACUAGACAACAUGUCCACGUGAGGCUUUGCCAUUUAUGAAAUCCACCUUCCCGGGGCUGAUGCUUCAGCACAUUUAACUGUAAAACACUGCCCACCUUUUGUGGUUGCUUCUGAGGGUCUGACCACCUAGUACUCAUCAAGUAGAGGGCAGUGUGGCUGGAGUUCAGAGAAGACUCCCACAGAGCCUGGUACCUGGGGUGGAAAGGUAAAGGGUAAAGGUCAGUGAGACAGACUGCCAAUGAUGAGCUGACAGUUUCUUUAUCUGUAAAAUAAGGACUAUAACAACACUUUUCCUCCUAGGCUGUCAGAGGGAAUAAAAGAGAUAAUCCACAGGCUCAGUAAAUACUCACAGCCACCACCACCAUCACCACCAUCAUCAUCAUUGUCACCGGCAGCUCGUUACAGAAAUAACCCAAAUGUCACAUUGGGGAGGUCUUAAAAAGCUCUGUGUUGGGGAUCCCUGAGGAGUGGUACACACUUUGGAACAUUCCUUCUAAAUAAUGCUCAGAGUUCUUUAUGCCAAAGCGUAACAUGUUGGUAGAACCUAUUAUGUUCUUGGAAGUGUUUCCCUCCAAUAUCAAAUAUUAGGAAGAAAAAUUAAAAAGGAUCAAAGUAGAGGGACUCAGAUGAUUCACAGCCAACGUGGGCUACAGAGUGUUCAGGUGUUUAUAUAAUGAAAUCACAGAAAAAUAAUGGAAAAAGGAAACAUACAAUUAAUGUCAGUAGGAGAGCUGGCUAGCAAUAUUGAGAAAACAUUUUGAUGCCCAUUUGGUAACUACAACCUUGUCUCUGGAGACUAAGUUCUAUCAUUGGCUUCUGCCACACGGUGACCCCAUCAUCCCCACCAGCCUGCCCAGCCUACAGAGCCCGACCACCACAGAGCUCGUCAAGGCAGUUGGUGCCACCUCACUACAUUUCUCAGAGCCUUAGCAGAGCAUCCUCUGAGCCCUCUCUGGGGACGGUGAGGAAGUAGGUGUGCAGACUGCAGGUGAUAAACCUACUCCAACCUCCCAGCCAUCCUAGGCUUUUGCGUCCUUCCUUCUGCAUUAUCCCAGGAAAGUUCUAGAACCUUGCUACUGAAUGUAGAACCACUGAGUUUAACUUAUAGCCAAUCAGCAAAGCAAUCUUUUAGAGCCACUUCCAACUGCUUGAGCUAACACAUGAAUUCAGAAUCUCUCUAUUCCAUCUUCCUUAGUCAAACACCCUUAGAAUCCAUUCCUGAACAUUUCUCAGGCUUUCACCAGUAUAAUUUAGCAAAACCUUGCAAUCCUUUUGGAGGAAUGUCCCUCCUGGGCUCACCCUGUUACACUGCCCUGGGGACCAGACGUUACUCUGGCCACCCCAUGGGGGUCAGGCCUUGGUGGAGGCAGGGCUCCUGGGCCCCAACUCUUUCUGCUCCUAGUUACCAUCAGUGUUUCCACUUGUGGAGACAGUUCCUUAGGAAGCAAAAUUUGCUGACUGAGGUGCUCAGUUCUAUUUUGGUGUUUUGCCAGAGAUCAUUUUUGUUUUUUUUUAAGAUUUUAUUUAUUUAUUCAUGAGAGACACAGAAAGAGAGAGGCAG
This 3257-nucleotide long non-coding RNA is filed under the name Canis lupus familiaris (dog). Its description in RNAcentral is "lncRNA (ENSCAFG00000051926.1, ENSCAFG00805028066.1, ENSCAFG00845019857.1)". Lineage: Eukaryota; Metazoa; Chordata; Mammalia; Carnivora; Canidae. The record is from RNAcentral.